Eriocheir sinensis (Chinese mitten crab) is the source of this 379-nucleotide long non-coding RNA. RefSeq lists it as uncharacterized. The transcript has 2 exons. Lineage: Eukaryota; Metazoa; Arthropoda; Malacostraca; Decapoda; Varunidae. The record is from RefSeq and is a predicted model, not a curated record.
UCCUCUUGGCACCACGCGGUUUUCCUCCUGCUGGAGUGUGGGGAUCCUGGGCUUCGCCACUUCGGGAUACAGCCCACACCGGGUCUCAGUUUGGGUGUGUCGAGUCCGCGGCGGCCUCUUCCUGAAAGCCGCAUCUACCGCCGACAUCACGCGCCUGAUGAGAGGACCCACGGCAGGAAGGACAAGCUGCAGCCACCUCGAGCAAGGCUGUGCAACGAGCCUCUACUCUUCUCCCUCCGCACCAAGUUAAGUAGCUAGUUGUUAGUGUAGCCAGGGCAGGUUAGUCUUGUGCGAGCACGAGUAACGCUAGGCUCAGCUGAGUGUGUAUGUGAGAUUUGUCUGUGUUUUCUUUGUGUGUAAUAAAGUUAGUGCAUAGUUG